ACUCUAAGAGGCAUAUUACAUAGUCAUUUGGGUUCUCAAGUAUACUUUAGGUUAAAGUUAUAUUACUGCAGAUUCUAUUAGCAAAAUUCUACAGUAGCACUGUAUUAUUACAGACAGAAAAAUAAUCUUUAAAAGUGGAAAAAAUGACAUAAUCCAGGAGUAGGCCAUAAUUAUUAUAACUUAGUAGGUUUUAGUUUUAUCAUACUGGUAAGUAAGACCUUUCCUGGAAAUAAGGUGUUCAUCCAAGUAAAGCAAAUUAAUUUCUUUCAGGCACCUGAAACAUUACAACUGGGAAUAACUAUCUACUCCAAGAGAACUAAAUGGAUCCCUGGACUCCCUUCAAGUGCUAAUUUACCUAAUUUGACAAGAUGUUCACCACUUGUGACUAUGACCAGACAGCUUUGGCAAAGCAAAAAGGCCCUUCCAGUUCAUCCAAACAAUGCUGGAAAAUACGGAGGAAUAACUGGUUGGCCUUCUACAAUUGGACCAAAUAUGGACAGCAUUAUGAGGUUUGCUGACUGGCUGUGGGAGAGGUGUACUUCCCUGUUCAAUUGAGGCUGGCUUGGACUGUGAUUUUCGUUAGUAAAAUGACACUGAUAAUUACCUACGCAACGUGUCUGUCUACCACCUCUCAUCCUCUCCUUCAGCGAUGGUGAGGAACUUGUUUUGCUCAGGGUCUUUCAGCCUGGCGCAAAGGUGGAACAUGGAACCCUGAUGGAGAAAAGUUGCUGCUGAACCGUAUCUCAACAGACACAGUGAGGAUAAUGUGCCUCUGUUUCUGUAAGCCAUUGGGAUUUCUGGCUUGUUCAUGACAUAGAAAAACGGACCACAUAUACAUAUUUUAUAGUGACAAAAAUCAAAAAGUAGCUAGGUUAAAUAACUUUCCCAAUGUCUCAUACCUGGAAAUAGAAAUCAUUCCCAAACCAGUGUGUUUUCACUUAUUACAUAAUGCUUUUCUUUGUGAUAAAAUGAAUUGCCAAAGAAUUUACAAGGUAAGCU
This is a long non-coding RNA of Cavia porcellus (domestic guinea pig), 999 nucleotides long. RefSeq lists it as uncharacterized. Lineage: Eukaryota; Metazoa; Chordata; Mammalia; Rodentia; Caviidae. The record is from RefSeq and is a predicted model, not a curated record. The transcript is spliced from 3 exons.